This 237-nucleotide long non-coding RNA is filed under the name Elaeis guineensis (African oil palm). RNAcentral describes it as "long non-coding RNA (EGUI_LNC021269)". The record is from RNAcentral. Lineage: Eukaryota; Viridiplantae; Streptophyta; Magnoliopsida; Arecales; Arecaceae.
UAGGAGUAUUGAGUUGGAGAUCAAUGUUCGAGAUAGACUGGCAUAUCUUAUGUAUGCUUGAUGGAGAGGGUGGUAGAUCUCACUAGCCACUUAUAUAUGGGAUACUAAUACAAGGAUGUAGGUGCUUAUUUAGAAAAUAAGUCUACUGAAUUGACUCGAUGAAAGAGAAUAUCUUAUGGAAGCCUUACUUGCAUGUCAAAGAUGGUUCUCUAAAUGAAAGUUGUGCAAGUGAUCCUU